UUUGAUCCACAAGAACAGCAUUGGAGAUUAUUUUUAAUUUCUAAGGAAAGUCCUCGGUAAUUAUUAGAGAUAAGACUAUAAACAGUUAUUCUUGUACAUUGUGAAAGUUAUGCUGUUGAGCAUCGAUCUGCUUAACCCAAUGAGGCUUACUCUGUGGAGCAA
This 162-nucleotide RNase MRP RNA is filed under the name Spraguea lophii 42_110. RNAcentral's name for it is "RNase MRP". It matches the Rfam family "RNase MRP". Rfam says of the family: RNase MRP is an enzymatically active ribonucleoprotein with two distinct roles in eukaryotes. In mitochondria it plays a direct role in the initiation of mitochondrial DNA replication. Lineage: Eukaryota; Fungi; Microsporidia; Spragueidae. The record is from Rfam by way of RNAcentral.